CCUACGGGUGGCAGCAGUGGGGAAUAUUGCACAAUGGGGGAAACCCUGAUGCAGCGACGCCGCGUGAGUGAAGAAGUACUUCGGUAUGUAAAGCCCUAUCAGCAGGGAAGAAAAUGACGGUACCUGACUAAGAAGCCCCGGCUAAAUACGUGCCAGCAGCCGCGGUAAUACGUCGGGGGCAAGCGUUAUCCGGAUUUACUGGGUGUAAAGGGAGCGUAGACGGCGGUGCAAGUCUGGAGUGAAAGCCCAGGGCUUAACCAUGGUACUGCUUUGGAAACUGUGCAGCUGGAGUGCAGGAGAGGUAAGCGGAAUUCCGAGUGUAGCGGUGAAAUGCGUAGAUAUUAGGAGGAACACCAGUGGCGAAGGCGGCUUACUGGACUGUAACUGACGUUGAGGCUCGAAAGCGUGGGGAGCAAACAGGAUUAGAUACCCUUGUAGUC
RNAcentral lists this ribosomal RNA (440 nucleotides) under uncultured bacterium. RNAcentral's name for it is "partial 16S ribosomal RNA". It matches the Rfam family "Bacterial small subunit ribosomal RNA", at positions 338 to 795 of the family's 1533-position model. The record is from RNAcentral.